UCCACAAGCAUAGAGUCUGCUUUCUAUGCAAGAUUGAGACGAAGAUUAAUUUUAUCUGAAAAGAGAAAUGGAAGGGGUACGAUAUUGACAUAUUAAAAAAAUAUUUUUCUUUAAAAAACUCAUAAUUAGUAUGUAACCUAAUAAUUAGUAUGUAACCUAGGCCAAACAAGAACAAGAGAUGAUGAGCCAUUUGAAAGGAGUAUUCGACGUAGACAAUAUAUCAUUAAUGAUGAAAGUAGAAAACAACGUAAGUGUGGACAAGCAAGAGUCAGAGUUGUUGUUCUUUUCGUCUACUCAAUACUCAGUCUACACUCCCAUUUGAGCCAACUCCUCCAAGAAGCCGAUAAAGGUAAUUGUAAAUGUGCACACAGAGAUGGAUGGAGAGAGAUUAAGAGAGGAAUUCUAGGACUGUCAAACUACUACCAUGUCAAAUCAUCACCCACCUUCAACCUUGCCUCUUGACACCUUCAUAUACUGCAAGAACCACUACCAGUACAGGCCGACAACUGUUCACAGCUGCUUAUGCUUCACUGUCAUCAUUCUUUUGAACCCUUGGAAGGGUUUUUCACUUACCAAAAAAAAGGAAAGAAGAUAAGGUUUUAGUCAAUAGGCUUUCUAUGUUGCUCCUAUGGUCAUAAGGCUAAUCUUCAUUUUCCAGUAUUCAAACUAACAUUAUUAUUGUUGUGUGCUGCUAUACUAAGGCCUGGUGCUGCUGUUUGUGAAAUUUUUUUGU
Quercus robur (English oak) is the source of this 733-nucleotide long non-coding RNA. RefSeq lists it as uncharacterized. NCBI's taxonomy places the organism in Eukaryota, Viridiplantae, Streptophyta, Magnoliopsida, Fagales, Fagaceae. The record is from RefSeq and is a predicted model, not a curated record. The transcript has 3 exons.